AAAGUGCGAGAACUGAGGUGAUCUGCAUUUAGCGCGAAUCCUUAGAACUUUGAACACAUAAUGUGGCCUUCGAGUAAAAUCGACUGGCUGUGUUUGUUUGAGCGUCUUAUUAAUAAUAACAUCCUUUAUGGAUAUAGUGGAGAGCAAAGAAAGAUCUUUAAUUAGAUUGAUUAACUUACUCUUUUAAAUAAUAUUGAGAAAAUUAAUUUUUUUUCUCUUUCGAAAGACUAUUAGAAAAUUAAAGUACUAAUUACUUUUGUGAACGAAUAAAGUAGUUCUCUUUAAGUUUUUGAGAAAUAAUUUUCAUUUAAUAAUAUGUUUAGUAGGUUGAGGAAAUUAUUUUUUUUCUUUGUUUAACCCCAUGACUAUUAAUAACUAAAAGACCUCAAAUCAAGCACGA
Molecule: unclassified non-coding RNA, 400 nt
Filed under: uncultured fungus
Lineage: Eukaryota; Fungi
Description: sequence contains ITS1
Rfam family: 5.8S ribosomal RNA (bases 1-107)
Source: RNAcentral